This 463-nucleotide ribosomal RNA is filed under the name uncultured bacterium. Its description in RNAcentral is "partial 16S ribosomal RNA". It matches the Rfam family "Bacterial small subunit ribosomal RNA", at positions 28 to 507 of the family's 1533-position model. The record is from RNAcentral.
GAUGAACGCUGACAGAAUGCUUAACACAUGCAAGUCGAUGGGGAAGUGGUGCUUGCACCAUGGCAACCAUGGCGGACGGGUGAGUAACGCGUAAGGGACUUACCUGCAGGACUGGGAUAACAGGGGGAAACUCCUGACAAGACCGGAUAAUGUCAUGGAGCUGCAUGGCUUUAUGAUGAAAGGAGACGCCUGCGGAGAGCCUUGCGUCCUAUUAGCUAGUUGGUGAGGUAAUGGCUCACCAAGGCGAAGAUAGGUAGCCGGCCUGAGAGGGUGGACGGCCACAAGGGGACUGAGAUACGGCCCUUACUCCUACGGGAGGCAGCAGUGGGGAAUAUUGGACAAUGGGGGCAACCCUGAUCCAGCAAUUCUGUGUGCACGAAGAAGGUUUUCGGAGUGUAAGGUGCUUUCAGCAGGGAAGAAGUAAGUGACGGUACCUGCAGAAGAAGCGACGGCUAAAUACGUG